UACGAAGGGGGCUAGCGUUGCUCGGAAUGACUGGGCGUAAAGGGCGCGUAGGCGGUUUGCACAGUCAGGCGUGAAAUUCCUGGGCUUAACCUGGGGGCUGCGCUUGAUACGUGUGGACUGGAGUGCGGAAGAGGGUCGUGGAAUUCCCAGUGUAGAGGUGAAAUUCGUAGAUAUUGGGAAGAACACCGGUGGCGAAGGCGGCGACCUGGUCCGUGACUGACGCUGAGGCGCGAAAGCGUGGGGAGCGAACAGG
This 253-nucleotide ribosomal RNA is filed under the name uncultured bacterium. RNAcentral's name for it is "partial 16S ribosomal RNA". It matches the Rfam family "Bacterial small subunit ribosomal RNA", at positions 524 to 776 of the family's 1533-position model. The record is from RNAcentral.